GUGGGAUGACGUCAAGUCCUCAUGGCCUUUAUGCUUAGGGCUACACACGUGCUACAAUGGGUGGUACAAAGAGAAGCCAACUCGCGAGAGCGCGCCAAUCUCAAAAAGCCAUCCUCAGUUCGGAUUGGAGUCUGCAACUCGACUCCAUGAAGUUGGAAUCGCUAGUAAUCGCGGAUCAGCAUGCCGCGGUGAAUACGUUCCCGGGCCUU
This 209-nucleotide ribosomal RNA is filed under the name uncultured Smithella sp. Its description in RNAcentral is "partial 16S ribosomal RNA". It matches the Rfam family "Bacterial small subunit ribosomal RNA", at positions 1174 to 1382 of the family's 1533-position model. Lineage: Bacteria; Pseudomonadati; Thermodesulfobacteriota; Syntrophia; Syntrophales; Smithellaceae. The record is from RNAcentral.